Molecule: small nuclear RNA, 107 nt
Organism: Lemur catta (Ring-tailed lemur)
Lineage: Eukaryota; Metazoa; Chordata; Mammalia; Primates; Lemuridae
Source: RefSeq, a predicted model, not a curated record
GUGCUUGCUUUGGCAGCACAUACACUAAAAUUGGAACAAUACAGAGAAAAUUAGCAUGGCCUCUGCAAGAGGAUGACAUGCAAAUUUGUAAAGCAUUCCAUAUUUUU